CUGUUAUCUCCACAGGAGCACUGGUGUUUCAACAUCACUGAAUCAUAGACCAGCCCUGCAGGAAACGGCCAUCAGGGCUGGGAAGCCCUUCUGUGGAGAGCUGGCCGCGUUUCCCUAUGCACAUGCCUAGAUGUCUCAGACAACCUGAUGGACACACCAGGGCAGUGCCAAGCCCAUUUGCUCUGCAGGACCCCUGCCUUCUUGGGCUGGCCACGGUAGAAGGAGACUCAAAGUCCUAUCCUGGCCCAACUGCCGGUUCUGUCCCUUAACCGUAAGUCACUGUCAACUUAGGUUUCCUGAGUCUCGAUGUCCUCACCUACUUCACGGGCACCACAGAGCUCAGACAAGAUUCAAGUAGUGCUCUAUGGUCCCUGGAACUGUCUGAAAGCCGGCUCACAGUCACGGACUCACGCCCCAGCCACUUCCUUCUGCCUCCCUGAGUCCCUUUUUG
Long non-coding RNA from Peromyscus leucopus (white-footed mouse), 451 nucleotides. RefSeq lists it as uncharacterized. The transcript is spliced from 3 exons. The record is from RefSeq and is a predicted model, not a curated record. Lineage: Eukaryota; Metazoa; Chordata; Mammalia; Rodentia; Cricetidae.